This 1056-nucleotide ribosomal RNA is filed under the name uncultured archaeon. Its description in RNAcentral is "bacterial SSU rRNA". It matches the Rfam family "Archaeal small subunit ribosomal RNA", at positions 1 to 1053 of the family's 1478-position model. The record is from RNAcentral.
GCGGCCGCUCCGUUUGAUCCCGGCGGAGGUCACUGCUAUCGAGGUUCGACUAAGCCAUGCGAGUCGAAUGUAGCAAUACAUGGCGUACUGCUCAGUAACACGUGGACAACCUACCCUCAGGACAGGAAUAAACCCGGGAAACUGGGUAUAAUUCCCGAUAGAUCUCGGUUGCUGGAAAGCUCCGAGAUCGAAAGCUCCGGCGCCGGAGGAUGGGUCUGCGGCCUAUCAGGUAGUAGUGGGUGUAGCGUACCUACUAGCCUACGACGGGUACGGGUUGUGAGAGCAAGAGCCCGGAGAUGGAUUCUGAGACACGAAUCCAGGCCCUACGGGGUGCAGCAGGCGCGAAAACUUUACAAUGCCGGCAACGGCGGAUAAGGGAACCUCGAGUGCCAGGUUACAAAUCUGGCUGUCGUGAUGCCUAAAAAGCAUUGCAUAGCAAGGGCCGGGCARGACCGGUGCCAGCCGCCGCGGUAACACCGGCGGCUCGAGUGGUAACCGUUAUUAUUGGGUCUAAAGGGUCUGUAGCCGGCCGGAUAAGUCUCUUGGGAAAUCUGGCAGCUUAACUGUCAGGCUUUCAGGAGAUACUGUCUGGCUCGAGGCCGGGAGAGGUGAGAGGUACUUCAGGGGUAGGGGUGAAAUCUUUUAAUCCUUGAAGGGCCACCAAGUUGGCGAAGGCGUCUCACCAGAACGGACCUGACGGCAAGGGACGAAAGCUAGGGGCACGAACCGGAUUAGAUACCCGGGUAGUCCUAGCCGUAAACGAUACUCGCUAGGUGUCGGCCACGGUGCGACCGUGGUCGGUGCCGUAGGGAAGCCGUGAAGCGAGCCACCUGGGAAGUACGGCCGCAAGGCUGAAACUUAAAGGAAUUGGCGGGGGAGCACCACAACGGGUGGAGCUUGCGGUUUAAUUGGAUUCAACGCCGGAAAUCUUACCGGGACCGACAGCAAUAUGAAGGCCAGGCUGAAGACUUUGCCGGAUUAGCUGAGAGGUGGUGCAUGGCCGUCGUCAGUCCUUACUGUGAAGCAUCCUGUUAAGAAAGGCAACGAGCGAGACCC